RNAcentral lists this ribosomal RNA (761 nucleotides) under Prevotella melaninogenica. RNAcentral's name for it is "bacterial SSU rRNA". It matches the Rfam family "Bacterial small subunit ribosomal RNA", at positions 28 to 776 of the family's 1533-position model. Lineage: Bacteria; Pseudomonadati; Bacteroidota; Bacteroidia; Bacteroidales; Prevotellaceae. The record is from RNAcentral.
GAUGAACGCUAGCUACAGGCUUAACACAUGCAAGUCGAGGGGAAACGGCAUUAAGUACUUGCACUUUUUGGACGUCGACCGGCGCACGGGUGAGUAACGCGUAUCCAACCUUCCCAUGACUAAGGGAUAACCUGCCGAAAGGCAGACUAAUACCUUAUGGUCUUCACUGACGGCAUCAGAUGUGAAGUAAAGAUUUAUCGGUUAUGGAUGGGGAUGCGUCUGAUUAGUUAGUUGGCGGGGUAACGGCCCACCAAGGCAACGAUCAGUAGGGGUUCUGAGAGGAAGGUCCCCCACAUUGGAACUGAGACACGGUCCAAACUCCUACGGGAGGCAGCAGUGAGGAAUAUUGGUCAAUGGGCGAGAGCCUGAACCAGCCAAGUAGCGUGCAGGAUGACGGCCCUAUGGGUUGUAAACUGCUUUUGUAUGGGGAUAAAGUCAAUCACGUGUGAUUGUUUGCAGGUACCAUACGAAUAAGGACCGGCUAAUUCCGUGCCAGCAGCCGCGGUAAUACGGAAGGUCCGGGCGUUAUCCGGAUUUAUUGGGUUUAAAGGGAGCGUAGGCUGGAGAUUAAGUGUGUUGUGAAAUGUAGACGCUCAACGUCUGACUUGCAGCGCAUACUGGUUUCCUUGAGUACGCACAACGUUGGCGGAAUUCGUCGUGUAGCGGUGAAAUGCUUAGAUAUGACGAAGAACUCCGAUUGCGAAGGCAGCUGACGGGAGCGCAACUGACGCUGAAGCUCGAAGGUGCGGGUAUCGAACAGG